AUUGGUGACUUCAAUGAAAUACUACUGUCGUCAGAAAAAGAAGGAGGAGCCCAGCGGCAACAGUCUAGGCUUAAAGCGUUCCAAGAUGCACUAACAGACUACUCCUUGGAGGAUAUUGGAUACCAUGGCGACAAAUUUACCCUUUUCAGAGGAGGACUGCGAGAAAGGUUGGAUCGAGCAGUAUCAAAUCCGGGAUGGAUGGAUAUGCAUCCUUUAUGUGGUCUUGUAAACCUGGAUAUGGGCAAGUCGGACCACAGACCUAUAUGUUUGGAUACUGAAUACCUGGCAGGUGUCGCAGCCCAACGGCAUCAGUCAGGAAGAAAAUUUGAGCCAAGAUGGCUAGAAGAGGAAUUGGUGGAGGAAGUAGUGAAGACGGCGUGGCAGAAGGCAGUCGUAAGGGGGCUUUGCCCCUCGGCUAGUGAGAAACUAGCAACAAUGCAUAAAGAUCUUCACCAAUGGGAUAGGGAAGUUUUGAAGGGACCUCGAGCCAGACUGAAAACAGCGCAGCAGGAACUAGAGGCACUCAUGCGAGAGCCAUAUGAUGUUGAUGCAUGGGCAAAACAGCAGGACUUAACGCUCAAAAUGGAAAACCUCUUAGAGCAGGAGGAGAUCUACUGGGCCCAACGGGGACAUGCAAACUGGCUUCGUCGCGGUGACCGUAAUACCAAAUUUUUUCAUCAGUUUGCUUCGGCCUGUAGGCGUCGUAACUUGAUCAAGAGAUUGAAAGAUAAUAAUGAUGCAUGGGUUGAGGGGAAUGAGAACCUCAAGCCUCUGAUUUUUUUAUUACUUCCAGAACCUGUUUUUAUCGGAGGCAGGGCUGAUUGA
Molecule: ribosomal RNA, 825 nt
Filed under: Triticum aestivum (bread wheat)
Lineage: Eukaryota; Viridiplantae; Streptophyta; Magnoliopsida; Poales; Poaceae
Description: partial small subunit ribosomal RNA
Source: RNAcentral